AGUCGAGCGGGGUCCAUCCAGUGGUAACACUGGUGAAGACCUAGCGGCGAACGGGUGAGUAACACGUGAGAAACCUGCCCCGAAGACCGGGAUAACCCUCCGAAAGGAGAGCUAAUACCGGAUGCCCUCACCGGGCCGCAUGACCUGGUGAGGAAAUGGAUUCCGCUUCGGGAGGGUCUCGCGGCCUAUCAGCUUGUUGGUGAGGUAACGGCUCACCAAGGCUUCGACGGGUAGCUGGUCUGAGAGGAUGAUCAGCCACACUGGGACUGAGACACGGCCCAGACUCCUACGGGAGGCAGCAGUGGGGAAUCUUGCGCAAUGGGCGAAAGCCUGACGCAGCAACGCCGCGUGGGGGAUGAAGGCUCUCGGGUUGUAAACCCCUUUCAGCAGGGAAGAUUAUGACGGUACCUGCAGAAGAAGCCCCGGCCAACUACGUGCCAGCAGCCGCGGUAAUACGUAGGGGGCAAGCGUUGUCCGGAUUUAUUGGGCGUAAAGAGCUUGUAGGCGGCUUGGUAAGUCGAGUGUGAAAACUCCAGGCUCAACCUGGAGACGCCAUUCGAUACUGCCAUGGCUAGAGUCCGGUAGAGGAGCACGGAAUUCCUGGUGUAGCGGUGAAAUGCGCAGAUAUCAGGAGGAACACCAGCAGCGAAGGCGGUGCUCUGGGCCGGUACUGACGCUGAGAAGCGAAAGCGUGGGGAGCGAACAGGAUUAGAUACCCUGGUAGUCCACGCCGUAAACGUUGGGCACUAGGUGUGGGUCCCUAUCGACGGGAUCUGUGCCGUAGCUAACGCAUUAAGUGCCCCGCCUG
Molecule: ribosomal RNA, 808 nt
Filed under: uncultured bacterium
Lineage: Bacteria
Description: bacterial SSU rRNA
Rfam family: Bacterial small subunit ribosomal RNA
Source: RNAcentral